GGUUAGGUGGCUGAGCGGUAGGCGAUAGAUUGUAAAUUUAUAUAGGGGAGGUUUCCCCCUAACCA
Molecule: transfer RNA, 65 nt
Filed under: Atya gabonensis
Lineage: Eukaryota; Metazoa; Arthropoda; Malacostraca; Decapoda; Atyidae
Description: tRNA-Tyr
Rfam family: tRNA
About the family: Transfer RNA (tRNA) molecules are approximately 80 nucleotides in length. Their secondary structure includes four short double-helical elements and three loops (D, anti-codon, and T loops).
Source: RNAcentral